RNAcentral lists this ribosomal RNA (1318 nucleotides) under uncultured bacterium. RNAcentral's name for it is "bacterial SSU rRNA". It matches the Rfam family "Bacterial small subunit ribosomal RNA", at positions 28 to 1364 of the family's 1533-position model. The record is from RNAcentral.
GACGAACGCUGGCGGCGCGCCUAACACAUGCAAGUCGAACGGAGCUUAGAGAGCUUGCUUUUUAAGCUUAGUGGCGAACGGGUGAGUAACGCGUGAGUAACCUGCCCUAGAGUGGGGGACAACAGUUGGAAACGACUGCUAAUACCGCAUAAGCCCACGGUGCCGCAUGACACUGAGGGAAAAGGAUUUAUUCGCUUUAGGAUGGACUCGCGUCCAAUAAGCUAGUUGGUGAGGUAACGGCCCACCAAGGCGACGAUUGGUAGCCGGACUGAGAGGUUGAACGGCCACAUUGGGACUGAGACACGGCCCAGACUCCUACGGGAGGCAGCAGUGGGGGAUAUUGCACAAUGGGGGAAACCCUGAUGCAGCGACGCCGCGUGGAGGAAGAAGGUUUUCGGAUUGUAAACUCCUGUCGUUAGGGACGAUAAUGACGGUACCUAACAAGAAAGCACCGACUAACUACGUGCCAGCAGCCGCGGUAAAACGUAGGGUGCAAGCGUUGUCCGGAAUUACUGGGUGUAAAGGGAGCGCAGGCGGGAAGACAAGUUGGAAGUGAAAACCAUGGGCUCAACCCAUGAAUUGCUUUCAAAACUGUUUUUCUUGAGUAGUGCAGAGGUAGAUGGAAUUCCCGGUGUAGCGGUGGAAUGCGUAGAUAUCGGGAGGAACACCAGUGGCGAAGGCGGUCUACUGGGCACCAACUGACGCUGAGGCUCGAAAGCAUGGGUAGCAAACAGGAUUAGAUACCCUGGUAGUCCAUGCCGUAAACGAUGAUAUUAAGGUGUUGGGGGAUGGACCCCCUCCGCCCCCGCAGUUAACACAAUAAGUAUUCCCCCUGGGGAGUACGACCGCAAGGUUGAAACUCAAAGGAAAUGACGGGGGCCCGCCCAAGCAGUGGAGUAUGUGGUUUAAUUCGAAGCAACGCGAAGAACCUUACCAGGUCUUGACAUCCGAUGCAUAGCACAGAGAUGUGUGAAAUCCUUCGGGACAUCGAGACAGGUGGUGCAUGGUUGUCGUCAGCUCGUGUCGUGAGAUGUUGGGUUAAGUCCCGCAACGAGCGCAACCCUUAUUGCCAGUUACUACGUUAAGAGGACUCUGGCGAGACUGCCGUUGACAAAACGGAGGAAGGUGGGGAGGACGUCAAAUCAUCAUGCCCUUUAUGACCUGGGCUACACACGUACUACAAUGGCGUUAAACAAAGAGAAGCAAGACCGCGAGGGGGAGCAAAACUCAAAAACAACGUCUCAGUUCAGAUUGCAGGCUGCAACUCGCCUGCAUGAAGUCGGAAAUGCUAGUAAUCGCGGAUCAGCAUGCCGCGGCG